UAGUAAAUAAGAGCAUACUAUGGAACAUCUUCGAUGUCCCUCUUUAAAUCCUAGUAACUUUUUAAAAUGAGUUUAUUUGCUCAUGGAAACAAGCACUUUAAAGAUAGUUGAGAAAGCCCUACCUAAAACCACAAUCAACAGUUUCUGGAAUCUAUCCGACAAUGCUUUCUGAAUAGUUUGUUUCUGGGAUGUCUUCUCCUUCAUAAGGAAAAAUAGUGGUCUUAGAUUCAACCAGAACAAAUGGAUGGAGAAUGUCUAGAUGAGUGCUGAUAAUAUGUCUAAAAAUGGAAGUAUGUCCACUCUUCUUGGAUGCAUAUCUUGGUGAUGACGGGCACACACAGCACACGGUAUCCUGGGAGGGCCCAUCACCACUGUUGCCCUCUAUUCCAGAAGUUCCUGAUGUGCUGGCAGUGAGGUCUGGGAGGGAACUGGGCACUCAUGGAUCUAAAAUUGGUAAGUGGAAGCCGCACUUCUACAAACUCUGCUCUUCUGUGAGUCCAAGGCUGAGACACCAUACAGAGAACGGAUUGGUGUGAUAAUGGACUUCCCUCCUUCAGAGUAUCCAAAGGCUUCUCCACCACCCGGAAUCCUAGAACAGCAACACCACUUCUAAGACACAAAAGAACUUCAAGCUUUGCUUCUCAGGUGGUCACACAGUGUCUUCGUUUUCCUUUUCAAGGAGUUGGAGCAUUCUGUACCCAAGAAUACACCUACACAGGUCCUCCAUGUCCAGAAGACUUUGGGGAUAGUUCACGUCCAGGGAACAUGUGGACAGCUGGAAAGAAGAAACAGUGUGAGUUUCCUGAAC
Oryctolagus cuniculus (rabbit) is the source of this 808-nucleotide non-coding RNA. NCBI's taxonomy places the organism in Eukaryota, Metazoa, Chordata, Mammalia, Lagomorpha, Leporidae. The record is from RefSeq and is a predicted model, not a curated record.